GGGGCUGUAGCUUAGUGGCAGAGCACUUGCCUCACAUGCAUGAGGCACUAGGUUUGAUCCUCAGCACCA
This 69-nucleotide transfer RNA is filed under the name Ictidomys tridecemlineatus (thirteen-lined ground squirrel). RNAcentral's name for it is "Spermophilus tridecemlineatus (thirteen-lined ground squirrel) tRNA". It matches the Rfam family "tRNA". From Rfam's summary of the family: Transfer RNA (tRNA) molecules are approximately 80 nucleotides in length. Their secondary structure includes four short double-helical elements and three loops (D, anti-codon, and T loops). The record is from Rfam by way of RNAcentral. Lineage: Eukaryota; Metazoa; Chordata; Mammalia; Rodentia; Sciuridae.